Molecule: ribosomal RNA, 1066 nt
Filed under: Paenarthrobacter nitroguajacolicus
Lineage: Bacteria; Bacillati; Actinomycetota; Actinomycetes; Micrococcales; Micrococcaceae
Description: bacterial SSU rRNA
Rfam family: Bacterial small subunit ribosomal RNA
Source: RNAcentral
GCAAGACUCCAGCUUGCUGGGGGGAUAGUGGCGAACGGGUGAGUAACACGUGAGUAACCUGCCCUUGACUCUGGGAUAAGCCUGGGAAACUGGGUCUAAUACCGGAUAUGACCAUCUGGCGCAUGUCAUGGUGGUGGAAAGCUUUUGUGGUUUUGGAUGGACUCGCGGCCUAUCAGCUUGUUGGUGGGGUAAUGGCCUACCAAGGCGACGACGGGUAGCCGGCCUGAGAGGGUGACCGGCCACACUGGGACUGAGACACGGCCCAGACUCCUACGGGAGGCAGCAGUGGGGAAUAUUGCACAAUGGGCGAAAGCCUGAUGCAGCGACGCCGCGUGAGGGAUGACGGCCUUCGGGUUGUAAACCUCUUUCAGUAGGGAAGAAGCGAAAGUGACGGUACCUGCAGAAGAAGCGCCGGCUAACUACGUGCCAGCAGCCGCGGUAAUACGUAGGGCGCAAGCGUUAUCCGGAAUUAUUGGGCGUAAAGAGCUCGUAGGCGGUUUGUCGCGUCUGCUGUGAAAGACCGGGGCUCAACUCCGGUUCUGCAGUGGGUACGGGCAGACUAGAGUGCAGUAGGGGAGACUGGAAUUCCUGGUGUAGCGGUGAAAUGCGCAGAUAUCAGGAGGAACACCGAUGGCGAAGGCAGGUCUCUGGGCUGUAACUGACGCUGAGGAGCGAAAGCAUGGGGAGCGAACAGGAUUAGAUACCCUGGUAGUCCAUGCCGUAAACGUUGGGCACUAGGUGUGGGGGACAUUCCACGUUUUCCGCGCCGUAGCUAACGCAUUAAGUGCCCCGCCUGGGGAGUACGGCCGCAAGGCUAAAACUCAAAGGAAUUGACGGGGGCCCGCACAAGCGGCGGAGCAUGCGGAUUAAUUCGAUGCAACGCGAAGAACCUUACCAAGGCUUGACAUGAACCGGAAAGACCUGGAAACAGGUGCCCCGCUUGCGGUCGGUUUACAGGUGGUGCAUGGUUGUCGUCAGCUCGUGUCGUGAGAUGUUGGGUUAAGUCCCGCAACGAGCGCAACCCUCGUUCUAUGUUGCCAGCGGUUCGGCCGGGGACUCAUAGGAA